AGAACUCACAGAGAAGGAGGGCAUUUCUUUCUUCACUGAAUUAGAUAUCUGAGAUGGAGCAGCCAUAUCCUGACCACAAAGUGACAAGCACAAGGGAAAAAUCCAACAUGCUUAGGAGAUUGGAGAAGUUAGAAACAACCUGGGUCCCUGAUGGCUUCAAUGAGCAGCUAAAACAACAUCAGUAACUACAUACCUUUAGAUUUCUUGUUAUAUGAGAAAAAGCAUAUAUUUAUUUUCCAAAACUAUUGUGGUUUUCUGUUAUCUGCAACUCUACAUGAUCCCAAUGGCUAAAUAUGUAUGUAUAGAACUGUUUUAUAUAUAUACAUAUGUAAAGAGAGAGAGAGAGGAAUGUAGUACACACACACACACACACUUAAAGGCACAUUUUUCCUUAAUUAGCACUUUAAAUUAGAGAAGAAUUAAGCAAUAGGCAGUGAGCAAUGGCUGAGCUAAAAAACAGCUCUUGGAUCUCAAGACUACUUGACUUCAAGUAUUUAUUUAUUUAUUCCAGAUUUUAUUUAUUUAUUUAUUUAUUUAUUUAUUUAUUUAUUUAUUUAUGAGAGACACCGAAAGAGAGGCAGAGACACAGGCAGAGGGAGGACAAGGAAGCUCCAUGCAAGGAAUGCAAUGUGGGACUCGAUCCCAGGAAUCCUGGAUCACACUGAGCCAAAGACAGCCGCUGGGCCACCCAGGCGUCCCUGAUUUCAGGUUGCUACUACUUCUACCCCUGAAAGCCAAGGCCCUGAUCCAACUCAGGAGAGAAAUGAGAAGCAGGGGAUCCCUGGGUGGCGCAGUGGUUUGGCGCUUGCCUUUGGCCCAGGGCGCGAUCCUGGAGACCCGGGAUCGAAUCCCACAUCAGGCUCCCGGUGCAUGGAGCCUGUUUCUCCCUCUGCCUAUGUCUCUGCCUCUCUCUCUCUGUCUCUCUGUGACUAUCAUAAAUAAAUAAAAAUUAAAAAAAAAUUAAAAAAAAAAAAGAAAUGAGAAGCAGGAGCUGGUUUUGAGAGACUGAACUCAAACAAUAUCCGAGAUUGCAGGGGAAAGGGAAGUGGG
This 1050-nucleotide long non-coding RNA is filed under the name Vulpes vulpes (red fox). RNAcentral's name for it is "lncRNA (ENSVVUG00000019531.1)". The record is from RNAcentral. Lineage: Eukaryota; Metazoa; Chordata; Mammalia; Carnivora; Canidae.